AACGAACGCUGGCGGCAUGCCUAACACAUGCAAGUCGAACGAAGUCUUCGGACUUAGUGGCGCACGGGUGCGUAACGCGUGGGAAUCUGCCCUUGGGUGCGGAAUAACUUCUCGAAAGGGAUGCUAAUACCGCAUAAUGUCGUAAGACCAAAGAUUUAUCGCCCAAGGAUGAGCCCGCGUAAGAUUAGCUAGUUGGUGGGGUAAAAGCCUACCAAGGCGACGAUCUUUAGCUGGUCUGAGAGGAUGAUCAGCCACACUGGGACUGAGACACGGCCCAGACUCCUACGGGAGGCAACAGUGGGGAAUAUUGGACAAUGGGCGAAAGCCUGAUCCAGCAAUGCCGCGUGAGUGAUGAAGGCCCUAGGUUGUAAAGCUCUUUACCAGGGAUGAUAA
Molecule: ribosomal RNA, 393 nt
Filed under: uncultured bacterium
Lineage: Bacteria
Description: bacterial SSU rRNA
Rfam family: Bacterial small subunit ribosomal RNA
Source: RNAcentral